This 773-nucleotide ribosomal RNA is filed under the name uncultured Neocallimastigales. Its description in RNAcentral is "partial large subunit ribosomal RNA". It matches the Rfam family "Eukaryotic large subunit ribosomal RNA", at positions 24 to 656 of the family's 3401-position model. Lineage: Eukaryota; Fungi; Neocallimastigomycota; Neocallimastigomycetes; Neocallimastigales. The record is from RNAcentral.
AUGUGAUCGUCUCUCGCAUAUCAAUAAGCGGAGGAAAAGAAACUAACAAGGAUUCCCCUAGUAACGGCGAGUGAAGCGGGAAGAGCUCAAAUUUGAAAUCUUAAAGGGUUUCCCUUUACGAAUUGUAGUUUAAAGAAGUGCUUUUCUGUUGAGGUUUUGGUAAAAGUUCUUUGGAAUAGGACAUCAUAGAGGGUGAGAAUCCCGUAUUUGACCUUUACUUUCAACUUUGUGAUACACUUUCAAAGAGUCGGAUUGUUUGGGAAUGCAGUCCAAAAUGGGUGGUAAAUUUCAUCUAAAGCUAAAUAUUGGCGAGAGACCGAUAGCGAACAAGUACCGUGAGGGAAAGAUGAAAAGAACUUUGAAAAGAGAGUUAAACAGUACGUGAAAUUGUCAAAAGGGAAGCGUUUGACACCAGUGUUGUUUUUCUGAAAUCAAUUAAAGAACUGUUUAUGCUAAGUUGUUUAGACUUUAUCAGCUAACUGUUUAGUUUUGAGCUUUUCUUUAAUGCACUUUUCAGUUAACAAGUCAACAUCAAUUUCUUUUGCUGUAAAAAAGCUUGAGGAAGGUGGCUUGAGAUUCGUCUUAAGUGUUUAUAGCCUCUUGCCUAUGCAGUCGGAGAGAUUGAGGUCUGCAGCGUAGAUCCUUCGGGGCUAAAUGCAUUUGUGCUAAGUUAUAGCAUUUUAUAGACAACUUGUUGACUAUGAUUUGUCUUGUAGCUUACUCGCUUAUGUUAUUUUACCUACGCUUAGGAUGUUGACACACGCGCGUGCUCG